UACGGAGGGGGCUAGCGUUGCUCGGAAUCACUGGGCGUAAAGCGCACGUAGGCGGACUCUUAAGUCGGUGGUGAAAUCCUGGAGCUCAACUCCAGAACUGCCUUUGAUACUGGGAAGCUCGAGUCCGGAAGAGGUGAGUGGAACUCCGAGUGUAGAGGUGAAAUUCGUAGAUAUUCGGAAAAACACCAGUGGCGAAGGCGGCUCACUGGUCCGGUACUGACGCUGAGGUGCGAAAGCGUGGGGAGCAAACAGG
This 253-nucleotide ribosomal RNA is filed under the name uncultured bacterium. RNAcentral's name for it is "partial 16S ribosomal RNA". It matches the Rfam family "Bacterial small subunit ribosomal RNA", at positions 524 to 776 of the family's 1533-position model. The record is from RNAcentral.